Molecule: ribosomal RNA, 256 nt
Filed under: uncultured bacterium
Lineage: Bacteria
Description: partial 16S ribosomal RNA
Rfam family: Bacterial small subunit ribosomal RNA
Source: RNAcentral
UACGUAGGGUGCAAGCGUUAAUCGGAAUUACUGGGCGUAAAGCGUGCGCAGGCGGUUUUUGUAAGUCUGUCGUGAAAUCCCCCGGGCUCAACCUGGGAAUUGCGAUGGAGACUGCAAGGCUAGAAUCUGGCAGAGGGGGGGUAGAAUUCCACGUGUAGCAGUGAAAUGCGUAGAGAUGUGGAGGAACACCGAUGGCGAAGGCAGCCCCCUGGGUCAAGAUUGACGCUCAUGCACGAAAGCGUGGGGAGCAAACAGG